AACAGGAUUAGAUACCCUGGUAGUCCACGCCGUAAACGAUGUCGACUUGGAGGUUGUUCCCUUGAGGAGUGGCUUCCGGAGCUAACGCGUUAAGUCGACCGCCUGGGGAGUACGGCCGCAAGGUUAAAACUCAAAUGAAUUGACGGGGGCCCGCACAAGCGGUGGAGCAUGUGGUUUAAUUCGAUGCAACGCGAAGAACCUUACCUACUCUUGACAUCCAGGGAAUUUAGCAGAGAUGCUUUAGUGCCUUCGGGAACCGUGAGACAGGUGCUGCAUGGCUGUCGUCAGCUCGUGUUGUGAAAUGUUGGGUUAAGUCCCGCAACGAGCGCAACCCUUAUCCUUUGUUGCCAGCGAUUCGGUCGGGAACUCAAAGGAGACUGCCGGUGAUAAACCGGAGGAAGGUGGGGAUGACGUCAAGUCAUCAUGGCCCUUACGAGUAGGGCUACACACGUGCUACAAUGGCGCAUACAAAGAGAAGCGACCUCGCGAGAGCAAGCGGACCUCACAAAGUGCGUCGUAGUCCGGAUCGGAGUCUGCAACUCGACUCCGUGAAGUCGGAAUCGCUAGUAAUCGUGGAUCAGAAUGCCACGGUGAAUACGUUCCCGGGCCUUGUACACACCGCCCGUCACACCAUGGGAGUGGGUUGCAAAAGAAGUAGGUAGCUUAACCUUCGGGAGGGCGCUUACCACUUUGUGAUUCAUGACUGGGGUGAAGUCGUAACAAGGUAACC
RNAcentral lists this ribosomal RNA (730 nucleotides) under uncultured bacterium. RNAcentral's name for it is "bacterial SSU rRNA". It matches the Rfam family "Bacterial small subunit ribosomal RNA", at positions 771 to 1501 of the family's 1533-position model. The record is from RNAcentral.